UACAGAGGGUGCAAGCGUUAAUCGGAUUUACUGGGCGUAAAGCGUGCGUAGGCGGUUCGCUAAGUCGGUUGUGAAAUCCCUGGGCUUAACCUGGGAACUGCAGUCGAUACUGGCGGACUAGAGUACGGUAGAGGGUGGCGGAACUCCGGGUGUAGCGGUGAAAUGCGUAGAUAUCCGGAAGAACACCGAUGGCGAAGGCAACCGCCUGGGCCUGUACUGACGCUGAGGUACGAAAGCGUGGGGAGCAAACAGG
Molecule: ribosomal RNA, 253 nt
Filed under: uncultured bacterium
Lineage: Bacteria
Description: partial 16S ribosomal RNA
Rfam family: Bacterial small subunit ribosomal RNA
Source: RNAcentral